Ornithorhynchus anatinus (platypus) is the source of this 189-nucleotide long non-coding RNA. RefSeq lists it as uncharacterized. The record is from RefSeq and is a predicted model, not a curated record. NCBI's taxonomy places the organism in Eukaryota, Metazoa, Chordata, Mammalia, Monotremata, Ornithorhynchidae. The transcript is spliced from 2 exons.
UGGCUCCCUCCCACAUUCUACGAAGAGUAACAGAAAGCCAACGGACGAAAGCCAUCGUUAGACGACCAUCUUGCCCUUCCCAGCUCCUCCAUUACAUGAUACACCCUGGCAUCUUUCAGCACGGUGUGGGAGGCUUCAAUCUACAGGGUCAAAAAUGUGAGCCACACUACUACACAUGCCAUACAUGCG